Long non-coding RNA from Lolium rigidum, 705 nucleotides. RefSeq lists it as uncharacterized. NCBI's taxonomy places the organism in Eukaryota, Viridiplantae, Streptophyta, Magnoliopsida, Poales, Poaceae. The transcript has 3 exons. The record is from RefSeq and is a predicted model, not a curated record.
GGCGGCGAGAUGGGGCCAAGGUAGGAGAUUAGCCAGCUGGGGAGUUGGGCGCGGCUUCUGCUCGACCGGAUGGACGCGAUAGCUGAGGAGGACCAACAGGACGAGGAUAAGACGCUCGAGGAGGUGGCCGGAGGAGGACGGCAUGCAGGGAGAAAGGAAAGCAGAACGCCGCCCACGGCUCCGUCGACCUCUCUCUUGGCUACUCCACGCUGUCCCCAACUCAUAAGGCAAGGCAAAUGGGUCCCCGGAAGCAGCUACACGGACUGCACUUGCUAGCUCCCAGACAAGGGUUGUAGUUUGUCAAUCCGUGAGGACCUCAACAAGUAUGCUGAACAGACGGUUAACUACUGUGCCACGGCUUCAAACAGUAGUCUGCAUGAUUCAUUGGUUUCAUCGGUGAACCUUGUGAACAAGAAGGAACAUCAACUUCUACAACUGGAGAACAAGCUGGACUAUGUAUGUUCACAAUGGUCAGAGUACAAAGGGAAGCACAUAUCUCAUGAUAAAAGACUUGAAGACAGAAACUGCAAAUCUAGGAAAUACCGUACACUUUUAUGGUUCAGGCUAAUAUUGUAUGUAACUAGAUUACUGAUUCCCACCCUCUAGUGUAAAGGUUAUAUAUGGUGUAAUCCGGUCUUUCAUUCUAUAACUAAAUUCAGAUUCAUCAUAAUAUGAAGGUUACACACAGGGAUUUCAUAAUCGCAA